GAUGAAGAACGUAGCGAAAUGCGAUAAGUAAUGCGAAUUGCAGAAUUCAGUGAAUCAUCGAAUCUUUGAACGCACAUUGCGCCCGCUAGUAUUCUGGCGGGCAUGCCUGUCUGAGCGUCAUUUCAACCCUCAUGCCCCUAGGGCGUGGUGUUGGGGAUCGGCCAAAGCCCGCGAGGGACGGCCGGCCCCUAAAUCUAGUGGCGGACCCGUCGUGGCCUCCUCUGCGAAGUAGUGAUAUUCCGCAUCGGAGAGCGACGAGCCCCUGCCGUUAAACCCCCAACUUUCCAAGGUUGACCUCAGAUCAGGUAGGAAUACCCGCUGAACUUAAGCAUAUCAAUAAGCGGAGGA
Molecule: unclassified non-coding RNA, 348 nt
Filed under: soil metagenome
Description: partial contains 5.8S ribosomal RNA, internal transcribed spacer 2, and large subunit ribosomal RNA
Rfam family: 5.8S ribosomal RNA (bases 1-120)
Source: RNAcentral